Molecule: ribosomal RNA, 246 nt
Filed under: uncultured bacterium
Lineage: Bacteria
Description: partial 16S ribosomal RNA
Rfam family: Bacterial small subunit ribosomal RNA
Source: RNAcentral
UACGAAGGGGGCUAGCGUUGCUCGGAAUCACUGGGCGUAAAGGGUGCGUAGGCGGGUCUUUAAGUCAGGGGUGAAAUCCUGGAGCUCAACUCCAGAACUGCCUUUGAUACUGGCGAUCUCGAGUCCGGGAGAGUGAGUGGAACUGCGAGUGUAGAGGUGAAAUUCGUAGAUAUUCGCAAGAACACCAGUGGCGAAGGCGGCUCACUGGCCCGGUACUGACGCUGAGGUGCGAAAGCGUGGGGAGCA